UUUUCUGACGUUGAGUGAAAAAGGAAAGUGAUAUAAUCUCCAUAGGAGCUUGUGCACACACAAGGGCAAAAAGGUGAGCAUAGAACUAUGUAGAGGGCACGGCUAGCUGUGGAGCUCUUACGUGAUUCCAAAGAUCAAUGUACAUGGAUGACGACCUGUAGGGUUAUUUUGUGGGCUAUUGUUUUGAGCUUACACUCUAUUGUGUCAUAUUUUGGGGGUCUUGUCUUGUAUAACUUUUGAAAUGGCCUAUAGAUGUGUUUAUAACCUUAGAACAUACGUGUUGGAUUAUGGUUAUAUGAUCGUUGAUUUUGAUAUAAUAUAUGAUCAUCACAGGUGAUUUGAAGUUAA
Long non-coding RNA from Olea europaea var. sylvestris, 348 nucleotides. RefSeq lists it as uncharacterized. The record is from RefSeq and is a predicted model, not a curated record. The transcript is spliced from 2 exons. NCBI's taxonomy places the organism in Eukaryota, Viridiplantae, Streptophyta, Magnoliopsida, Lamiales, Oleaceae.